GAGUUUGAUCAUGGCUCAGGAUGAACGCCGGCGGUGUGCCUAAUACAUGCAAGUCGUACGCACUGGCCCAACUGAUUGAUGGUGCUUGCACCUGAUCGACGAUGGAUCACCAGUGAGUGGCGGACGGGUGAGUAACACGUAGGUAACCUGCCCUGUACAGGGGGAUAACAAUCAGAAAUGACUGCUAAUACCGCAUAAGACCACAGCACCGCAUGGUGCAGGGGUAAAAACUCCGGUGGUACAGGAUGGACCCGCGUCUGAUUAGCUGGUUGGUGAGGUAACGGCUCACCAAGGCGACGAUCAGUAGCCGGCUUGAGAGAGUGAACGGCCACAUUGGGACUGAGACACGGCCCAAACUCCUACGGGAGGCAGCAGUGGGGAAUAUUGCACAAUGGGGAAACCCUGAUGCAGCAACGCCGCGUGAGUGAAGAGUAUUUCGGUAUGUAAAGCUCUAUCAGCAGGGAAGAAAGUGACGGUACCUGACUAAGAAG
Molecule: ribosomal RNA, 491 nt
Filed under: uncultured microorganism
Description: bacterial SSU rRNA
Rfam family: Bacterial small subunit ribosomal RNA
Source: RNAcentral